AAUAUUGCGCAGUGGAGGGAACUCUGACGCAGCGACGCCGCGUGAGCGAUGAAGGUCUUCGGAUCGUAAAGCUCUGUCCUUGGGGAAGAAGGUCUUCGGACUUGACGGUACCUACGGAGGAAGCCCCGGCUAACUACGUGCCACCAGCCGCGGUAAUUCGUAGGGGGCAAGCGUUUUCCGGAAUUAUUGGGCGUAAAGGGUGCGUAGGCGGCCUUUUAAGUCAGAUGUGAAAGCCCACGGCUUAACCGUGGGACUGCAUUUGAAACUGGAGGGCUUGAGUAUCGGAGAGGGUAGUGGAAUUCCCAGUGUAGCGGUGGAAUGCGUAGAUAUUGGGAGGAACACCAGUGGCGAAGGCGACUACCUGGACUGCAACUGACGCUGAGGCACGAAAGCGUGGGGAGCGAAC
This 406-nucleotide ribosomal RNA is filed under the name uncultured bacterium. RNAcentral describes it as "partial 16S ribosomal RNA". It matches the Rfam family "Bacterial small subunit ribosomal RNA", at positions 360 to 773 of the family's 1533-position model. The record is from RNAcentral.